RNAcentral lists this ribosomal RNA (634 nucleotides) under Helostroma bacarum. Its description in RNAcentral is "LSU rRNA". It matches the Rfam family "Eukaryotic large subunit ribosomal RNA", at positions 34 to 650 of the family's 3401-position model. The record is from RNAcentral. Lineage: Eukaryota; Fungi; Basidiomycota; Exobasidiomycetes; Microstromatales; Microstromataceae.
UUAAGCAUAUCAAUAAGCGGAGGAAAAGAAACUAACAAGGAUUCCCCUAGUAACGGCGAGUGAAGCGGGAAGAGCUCAAAUUUGAAAGCUGGCGCCUUCGGCGUCCGCGUUGUAAUCUCGAGAAGUGUUUUCCGUGCUGGACCAUGUACAAGUUCCUUGGAAUAGGACGUCAUAGAGGGUGAAAAUCCCGUCCUUGACAUGGACGCCCAGUGCUUUGUGAUACGCUCUCCACGAGUCGAGUUGUUUGGGAAUGCAGCUCAAAAUGGGUGGUAAAUUCCAUCUAAAGCUAAAUAUUGGGGAGAGACCGAUAGCGAACAAGUACCGUGAGGGAAAGAUGAAAAGCACUUUGGAAAGAGAGUUAAACAGUACGUGAAAUUGUCGAAAGGGAAGCGCUUGAAGUUAGACAUGCCUGCUGGAAUUCAGCCUUGCUUUUUGCUUGGUGUAUUUUCCAGUGAGCAGGCCAGCAUCAGUUUUGUCUGUCGGAUAAGGGUAGGAGGAACGUAGCCCCCCUCGGGGGGUGUUAUAGCCUCUUACUGGAUACGGCGGAUGGGACUGAGGACCGCAGUGUGCCUUUAUGGCGGGCCUUCGGGCACCUUCACACUAAGGAUGCUGGCGUAAUGGCUUUAAGCGACCC